AUUUGGAUAUGUUGAUUAAUUUUCAGGAAUUCGCUAACUGUACAGAGAUGCUGCUUCAGAAGCUAGAAAUAAGAAAAAAGAAUAGUUAUAACAAUAAAAGCUUCUUUAUUCUAAGUAAGUUAAGAAAUUAAAUUGGAAGUGUUUGAUAACAAGAAAAUAAAAGUGAAGGGGUAGUUAAGAUUCAUUAAAAUUAAGUAAAUUGCAAGUUUUUGAUAACAAGAAAACAAAAGUGAAGUGGUAGUUAAGAUUCAUUAACAUUAAAUAAGUGGGGAUAUUAGUUUGGGCUAAUUGCAUACAGAUUCCUAUAAAAAUAAUAAAUUACAAAUAUAUAUUCUACAAAGUCCAACUUUCAUAUGUUGUUCCUGUAAAAGUCCUGAUGUUUCCAAAUAUAUUCCUACUAUUAGAAUCCGUUAAAAAAAUUUAGUUAACCAUAGGUUAAAUACUUAACCGAAGUUAGUUAAUGAGGUGAAUUGACCUUUUUACCACUCUUCAUUUAACAGUUGGGACUUUUAGAGGGACAUAUUUGUGAUGGCAACAAGGUCAUUUCACUUACAAAAUAGAUAGUACUUUAACGGUAAUAAAUCAAAGGGACAUAUUUGAAAAUAUUAGGACUUUUGAAGGGACAGCAUAUGAAAAUUAAAUUUUGUGAGGAUAAAUUUGUAAUUCACUAUGUUUGCAGGAACCUGUAUAAAAUUAACCCGAUUAGUUUUGUCAUUGAUUUGGUGGGUUGGCAUUUGUUGAAGUUCCCCAACCUUAGCCCCAUUAAUACUCCUAUAUAACCAAACUCACAUUUAGCUUCCACUUAAGAAUUGUAGCGAUUCGGCUCGCUAGCACUCGACAACUUAUUUGGUUCAAACUACUAAUCCAAAAUAUUUAAACUAAUAUAAUAACAUUUAGUUCUGCCGUUAGAUCUAUUCUUUGAUUAUUUUCAUCUGUUAGAUUAUACUAUUCGACCAACCACCCACUCAACCCUAAAGAGCCAUUAUCAUCCUAACUGGAACCAUUAUCAUCCAAACCACACAUCUUUUCAUUCAACGGUUGAAAACUCGAUAGCACCGGACAGUGACC
Molecule: long non-coding RNA, 1068 nt
Filed under: Ananas comosus (pineapple)
Lineage: Eukaryota; Viridiplantae; Streptophyta; Magnoliopsida; Poales; Bromeliaceae
Description: long non-coding RNA (ACOM_LNC009439)
Source: RNAcentral